RNAcentral lists this ribosomal RNA (237 nucleotides) under uncultured Lactobacillus sp. RNAcentral's name for it is "partial 16S ribosomal RNA". It matches the Rfam family "Bacterial small subunit ribosomal RNA", at positions 125 to 355 of the family's 1533-position model. The record is from RNAcentral. Lineage: Bacteria; Bacillati; Bacillota; Bacilli; Lactobacillales; Lactobacillaceae.
CCUGCCCAAGAGAUCGGGAUAACACCUUGAAACAGAUGCUAAUACCGGAUAACAACAGAUGAUGCCUAUCAACUGUUUAAAAGAUGGUUCUGCUAUCACUCUUGGAUGGACCUGCGGUGCAUUAGCUAGUUGGUAGGGUAACGGCCUACCAAGGCGAUGAUGCAUAGCCGAGUUGAGAGACUGAUCGGCCACAUUGGGACUGAGACACGGCCCAAACUCCUACGGGAGGCAGCAGCU